AUGGAGCGCAUGGCGACAUCCUACUUCAAGGAGGUUUAUACUAAGGACCCGACGUUGUCCCCGGCUGAGGUCUUGGGGGGUAUAGUUCCUAAAGUUACUGAAGCAAGGAACGAAUCUCUGUGCGCACCCUUUUUAGAGGAGGAAGUAUCCAAUGCUCUAUUCCAAAUUGGUCCUAUCAAGGCUCCUGGUACCGAUGGUCUUCCAGCUAGGUUCUUUCAAAGAAACUGGGUUGUGUUGAAGACAGAUAUCAUUGCAGUGGUGUUGGACUUCUUCAAGUCUGGAAUAAUGCCGGAUGGUGUGAAUGAUACGGCUAUCGUUCUUCCCAAAAGUACAUCAUCCAAAGGAGCUAAAGGACUUCAGGCCGAUAAGCCUCUGCAAUGUGUUAUACAAGAUAGUUUCUAA
This 402-nucleotide ribosomal RNA is filed under the name Triticum aestivum (bread wheat). RNAcentral's name for it is "partial small subunit ribosomal RNA". Lineage: Eukaryota; Viridiplantae; Streptophyta; Magnoliopsida; Poales; Poaceae. The record is from RNAcentral.